Molecule: ribosomal RNA, 225 nt
Filed under: uncultured bacterium
Lineage: Bacteria
Description: partial 16S ribosomal RNA
Rfam family: Bacterial small subunit ribosomal RNA
Source: RNAcentral
UACGAAGGGGGCUAGCGUUGCUCGGAAUCACUGGGCGUAAAGCGCACGUAGGCGGAUUGUUAAGUCAGGGUGAAAUCCUGGAGCUCAACUCCAGAACUGCCUUUGAUACUGGCGAUCUCGAGUCCGGGAGAGGUGAGUGGAACUGCGAGUGUAGAGGUGAAAUUCGUAGAUAUUCGCAGGAACACCAGUGGCGAAGGCGGCUCACUGGCCCGGUACUGACGCUGA